RNAcentral lists this long non-coding RNA (1086 nucleotides) under Sinocyclocheilus grahami. RNAcentral describes it as "lncRNA (ENSSGRG00000027806.1)". Lineage: Eukaryota; Metazoa; Chordata; Actinopteri; Cypriniformes; Cyprinidae. The record is from RNAcentral.
AUCCUCCAAAAAGUCGCUUUUGUUCCUGGUUUAUGUAUUAUGCACGUUCCGCGCUGCGUGCUCUGGGGACUUCGGAGACCCCAGACCCUGCUCUGGAUCACACUGUCCGGGGGGCAGAUCGUCCAGACCACCGCGACAGCACAAUCCGACAACACAGAGCAGAUCAGUAAAUCACCAUCAUGCUCCCUCCAGCUUUCCAUCGGAACAUCACGCAACGCUUCUGUCCCAGCGCACGCGGUCUGGAGACCAGACAAGGGAAACGGUCCAGACGCCUCAAAGACCAGAUCAUGUUAUGAACGACACCAGAGAAUGUAAAGGAAUUGAGUGCCGUCUGCCUCUGAGGAUACGACCGAACCCCAGACCGAGACCCUGUGCUGGAGACGGGUGCGUGCUCGGGACCAGCCAGCCUCCCCUCAUCCAUAUGGCAGACAGAGCCGCUCAGUUUCUGGGGGAAUUUCCGGACAUUGGAUACCCCGCAUCAGAGAGUGGGGCUCCUCUGGGAGUUCAGCUCACUUGUGACAUCAAACCAGGAGAUAAUGAGGUCCCUGCCGAGGAUGCACUGAUCCUGCAUCUACAGCUGGCAAAGGGACAAGAGAAGCUCGUGGAGGCUUUGAGAGCUCAACAAGUAGUGAUCCGUGAUCUGCAGCAGAGACUGGGGGAACAGCAGGGGGCCCUCCUCUCCCAGCAGCGUGAAAUACUCGACCAGCAACGCCGCAUGUAUGAGCAAAUGGAUGUGGUGAAGGCUCAGUACGGUCUGCUUUCUGAGACCGUCAAGCAAUUCUCAUUCCAAGGCUUGCAGGGAGAAGUGCAAAGCUAUUUUGAAAGCCAUCUGGCUGGCCUGCAGAGCCAAGCACGUACCCACCUGCAAAAGUCCUAUGCUGUGCAUAAGGUAGAUGUGGAUGCCAAAGUGGUGAAUGUAGUUGGAGAUGCAGGGCACCCAGUGUUGGGCUGUCAAAUUGCUUGUGGGCCUGAAGAAUACUGCGACUUCCAGAAGGAUCCACCGCAGUGUGAAAGGUGCACUAUGUGUCCCCCUGGAUUCUUCCUGGUGUCACAGUGCUCCCCCAAUGCUGAUAGGAUGUGCCAGGU